UAGGGAAUCUUCCGCAAUGGACGCAAGUCUGACGGAGCAACGCCGCGUGAGUGAAGAAGGAUUUCGGUUCGUAAAACUCUGUUGUUAGAGAAGAACAGCGCAUAGAGUAACUGUUAUGCGUGUGACGGUAUCUAACCAGAAAGCCACGGCUAACUACGUGCCAGCAGCCGCGGUAAUACGUAGGUGGCAAGCGUUGUCCGGAUUUAUUGGGCGUAAAGCGAGCGCAGGCGGUCAAUUAAGUCUGAUGUGAAAGCCCCCGGCUCAACCGGGGAGGGUCAUUGGAAACUGGUUGACUUGAGUGCAGAAGAGGAGAGUGGAAUUCCAUGUGUAGCGGUGAAAUGCGUAGAUAUAUGGAGGAACACCGGUGGCGAAAGCGGCUCUCUGGUCUGUAACUGACGCUGAGGCUCGAAAGCGUGGGGAGCGAACAUG
RNAcentral lists this ribosomal RNA (429 nucleotides) under Bacteroidota bacterium. RNAcentral describes it as "Bacteroidetes bacterium partial 16S ribosomal RNA". It matches the Rfam family "Bacterial small subunit ribosomal RNA", at positions 355 to 776 of the family's 1533-position model. The record is from RNAcentral. Lineage: Bacteria; Pseudomonadati; Bacteroidota.